Molecule: ribosomal RNA, 483 nt
Filed under: uncultured bacterium
Lineage: Bacteria
Description: partial 16S ribosomal RNA
Rfam family: Bacterial small subunit ribosomal RNA
Source: RNAcentral
GACGAACGCUGGCGGCGUGCUUAACACAUGCAAGUCGAACGAUGAAGCCGCUUCGGUGGUGGAUUAGUGGCGAACGGGUGAGUAACACGUGGGCAAUCUGCCCUGCACUCUGGGACAAGCCCUGGAAACGGGGUCUAAUACCGGAUACGACCAUCGGCCGCAUGGCCUGGUGGUGGAAAGCUCUGGUGGUGCAGGAUGAGCCCGCGGCCUAUCAGCUGGUUGGUGGGGGGAUGGCCUACCAAGGCGACGACGGGUAGCCGGCCUGAGCGGGCGACCGGCCACCAUGGGACUGAGACACGGCCCAGGAUCCUACGGGAGGCAGCAGUGGGGAAUAUUGCACAAUGGGCGCAAGCCUGAUGCAGCGACGCCGCGGGAGGGAUGACGGCCUUCGGGUUGUAAACCUCUUUCAGCAGGGAAGAAGCUUUCGGGUGACGGUACCUGCAGAAGAAGCACCGGCUAACUACGUGCCAGCCGCCGCCGUAA